GCUUGUCUCAAAGAUUAAGCCAUGCAUGUCUAAGUAUAAACGACUUUAUACUGUGAAACUGCGAAUGGCUCAUUAUAUCAGUUAUAGUUUAUUUGAUGGUCCUUGCUACUUGGAUAACCGUAGUAAUUCUAGAGCUAAUACAUGCAUCAAACCCCGACUUCUGGAAGGGGUGUAUUUAUUAGAUGGAAACCAAUGCAGGGCAACCUGGAAUAUGGUGAUUCAUAAUAACUCGCGGAUCGGUUUACCGAUGCAUCAUUCAAGUUUCUGCCCUAUCAACUUUCGACGGUAGGAUAGAGGCCUACUGUGGUGAUAACGGGUAACGAAGAAUAAGGGUUCGAUUUCGGAGAGGGAGCCUGAGAAACGGCUACCACAUCCAAGGAAGGCAGCAGG
RNAcentral lists this ribosomal RNA (390 nucleotides) under uncultured Chrysophyceae. RNAcentral describes it as "partial small subunit ribosomal RNA". It matches the Rfam family "Eukaryotic small subunit ribosomal RNA", at positions 30 to 432 of the family's 1831-position model. The record is from RNAcentral. Lineage: Eukaryota; Chrysophyceae.